Molecule: ribosomal RNA, 498 nt
Filed under: uncultured bacterium
Lineage: Bacteria
Description: partial 16S ribosomal RNA
Rfam family: Bacterial small subunit ribosomal RNA
Source: RNAcentral
ACUCAAAUGAAUAGACGGGGACCCGCACAAGCGGUGGAUUAUGUGGAUUAAUUCGAUGCAACGCGAAAAACCUUACCUACCCUUGACAUGUCCUGAAGGCCCCUGAAAGGGGGCUGUGCCCGAAAGGGAACGGGAACACAGGUGCUGCAUGGCUGUCGUCAGCUCGUGUCGUGAGAUGUUGGGUUAAGUCCCGCAACGAGCGCAACCCUUGUCAUUAGUUGCUACCCGCAAGGGAGCACUCUAAUGAGACUGCCGGUGACAAACCGGAGGAAGGUGGGGAUGACGUCAAGUCCUCAUGGCCCUUAUGGGUAGGGCUUCACACGUAAUACAAUGGCGCGUACAGAGGGUUGCCAAGGAGCGAUCUGGAGCCAAUCCCGUAAAGCGCGUCGUAGUCCGGAUUGCAGUCUGCAACUCGACUGCAUGAAGUCGGAAUCGCUAGUAAUCGCGGAUCAGCAUGUCGCGGUGAAUACGUUCCCGGGUCUUGCACACACCGCCCGU